AUAAUAAUAAUAAUAAUAAUAAAGAACGUAAAAAAAAACAGGACUUUUGCAAAAAUAGGGUUGGGUAGACCACAAAAACCUGUACAAUAUUAUGACCACAAUGCUAAGAUUAGGAUAUUUAUCCUAAUAAAAAUAAUAGAGCUAAGAAGACCUGUUAAACUUUGAAUAACUAAAUGGAUACACAAAUGCAUAUAUGCUAUAGCAAAUUUAGGACUGUAUUUUAAAACUAGUGAAGGUUGCUUAAUGGAAGGCUUAAGGAAGGGAUGAGACUGCUUAGUUGUGUAGGCAAGGGCAAAUGUUCAAAGAUGGGAAAGCACCAUGCUAAAAGCUCCUCCAAGAAGGAGCAUGUAGACAAACAGCCCAGCAUGAUGGGGCUGGGGUGGGUAAAGGCAUCAUGUCCAGUAUUCCCACUAUCCAUCUCUCUGUGGCAAAUGUAUUCAACCAUGCUAGUGUACCUUCUCCUCGCUGCUGCUCCUUGGUGCAACAAAUCUUUGACAUCCUGGGAAAAAUCAAGCAGCUUGCAUGUUAUUGUGCUAUCAUUCCUCUAGUUAUCAGUCUUGCCUUGUUUUACAGUAACAUGUGUUACAGGGUCAUAUGUAUAGCAGAGCAGUCCACAGAUGCAGAUGAGGGGUUGUAGCUCUCAAUGAAUCGCAGGCUUCAUGAGCAGAAUAAGCAAUGACUCUCAGAGAUAUAAUAGAAUUCAGUGAGAGACAUGAGUCUCUCCCUCUGUCCCUCCCUCCCUUUCCAGCCUGACCAGGCUACUAUCCACUCCCCUCCUUGGUUUCAGAUUUCCUUUUCUUAACUAGCUUGUGAGCUUCUUGAGAGAGGGCUCUGUCAUAUUCCUCUAUGUGCUCUGAGGGCCCAGCACAGAGGCCCCAGAGCAGAAUGUUUGCAUUACAGUUGAACUUCCUUUUGUAAGUUGAGAAAAAUCCAGGACCCACUGAAGAGGUUCCAGACCUCAUUGAGGGCAUCAGAUCCACUGGACCACCAUGAGGCCAGGAUGGAGACACUACUGGGACAGGGACAGUGUUUCAUUCAGUACCAUCUCCUGCAUCUCUGUUGGUCCCACGUGACACGGGAACUGCUCAGUGGGUCCCAACCCUACUUUAUCCAGGAGAGGGACAUGAUGGGGCUCACAGAACAGCCUCCUUCUCAGCCCUCCUUCAUUUCCCUUCCUUGCCUUCCUUCUUUCCUGUCCUCCUUCCCUUCCUUCAUUCCUGUCCUUUCUGCCUUCCUUCAUUCCUCUUAUCCUUUCCUCCUUCCUCUCUCCCAAACUCUUUCCUUCCUUCCUCCUGUCCUUCCUUCCUGUCCUCUGUCCCUUCCUUCCUCCCAUCCUUUCUUCCUUCCUCUUUCCCAUCCUCUUUCUUUGUUCCUUCCUUCCCUUUUUCUUUCCUCUCUCUCUCCCUUCUUCCUCCCUUCCUUCUUCCUUCCUUCUUUCCUGUCUUCCCUCCCUUACUCCUCCUUCCAUCCUUCCUUCCCUGCCUCUCUUCUCCCUUUCCCUUCCCUUCCCUUCCCUUCCCUUCCUUUCCCUUCCUUCCAAUUUGUUGAGCCCCUAUUCCAUGCCAGAUGCUAGACAAGGUCCUAGGGAUAAAGUGGUGAGCAAAAAGGCAUGAAAUCUGUCUUCACAGUGCUUCCAUAUUGCCUGUAGUUUAAGAGCUUAACCUCUGAAGCCAGAUCUCCUCAGUCUGAUACUUGACCCUUUCCUUUACUCACUAUAUGAACUUGGUGAAAUUCCUUUCUGGAUAUCAGUUUUCUCUGCUGUCAAAUGAGGCUCAUGACAACCUAUUUCAGAGAGUUAUCGUGAAUGUUAAAUUAAUUGAUAUGUAAAGUACUUAGAUUAGUACCUGACACAGUAAAUGCCCAAUAAAUAUUAACAGGAAUUGCUAGUAUGAUAACUGCUAUAUAGAGACAAUAAGUCAACAAAUCAAUAUAAAAUCACAAGAAGCAAUGUGUGUUAUGAAUGCAAAGAACUGGGUGGGACUUGCCUAUAACUUAGAACUAUGUUUUCCCUGGGGUGUAGCUCUGGAACUAGUUGAAUAUGUAAACAUUAUCUGACCAAAGAGUUGGCAAAUGAUUGUGCCUAUGGAUCAUGAAGAUCUCUAAAUAUCCUCUGAUUUUGAAGAAUAACAUUGGGAACCUUUUUAAAGAGAAUGAUCAGAUAGGGCCUCUCUGAGGAGGGGAUGUAGAUAAAUGGUAUAAACACUGAAACUGGCAGAAGGAGGGUAGUGUAAGAGAGGCAUUACAGUUGGAGGAGAGAUGGGAAUGGUCACAGGCAGGAAAAAGCCACCAACAAUGAUCAGGUGUUGAGGCCUUUGACCUGUGGGGUCUGUGCUUGGCCGGUUUUAUUAAAAGAAUCUUUGUUCCUUGACUGCCAGUUAAAGUGUCACUCUAUGUGCAGUCCUCCAUUAGGGCUUUUGCAUACUGGAGACCAGGCAGUUGCCUCCCAUAUCUUGAUGAUUCUAGCACUCAUGUCAGGUUAUUACCAUGAGCCCCUCUGUCCUGCCUGCUGAACUCUGCACCACUAUGUCGGCUAGGCCAUUGUUUCAUUUCUUAUGUUAGGCUUGAGAAAAUUUAAGAAAGGAAAUAUAAGAAUAGACAUUUCUAGGUACUUUGGUCUAAAUUCAAUCCCAAUCCUUAAGGGUGGUUUGGCUUGUUUGUUUGUUUUGACUUUAAGUUCUGGGAUACAUGUGCAGAACGUGCAGGUUUGUUACAUUGGUAUACCUGUGCCAUGGUGGUUUGCUGCACCUGUCAACCCAUCAUCUAGGUCUUAAGCCCUACAUGCAUUAGGUAUUUCUCCUAAUGCUAUCCCUCCCCUAGCCCGCCACCCCACAACAGCCCCUGGAGUGUGAUGUUCCCCUCCCUGUGUCCAUGUGUUCUCACUGUUGAACUCCCACUUAUGAGUGAGAACAUGUGGUGUUUGAUUUUCUGUUCCUGUGUUAGUUUGCUGAGAAUGAUGGCUUCCAGCUUCAUCCAUGUCCCUGCAAAGGACAUGAACUCAUUUUUUAUGGCUGUAUAGUAUUCCAUGGUGUAUAUGUGCCACAUUUUCUUUAUGCAGUUUAUCAUUGAUGGGCAUUUGGGUUCCAAUCCCUAAGUUUUAUUCAGUAUAUGGUACCAGCUAUAUGCAAUUUGGGUAACCUUGGUCACGUCAUCUCAUUUGCCUGCUCAUUCACGGAUACUUAUUCAACAAAUACCAAUUGAGCAAGAUGUAUGUGCUAGUAUGACAGAGAGAUAGGUCACCUGGGGCCUCAGCUUCUCCACUGCUGAAGACUUGUGCCAGAUCACUGGCUUUCAAUGCAGUGUGGACUCCAGAGCCCUAUUUUAUUAAACAAAUUAGAGUGGAUUCAAGGUUAUUCCUCUAAUAGCUUCACUCCUUGGUAUACUGAAGCUGUCUCAGGUGAAAGAGAAAAUGGUGGAGUGACAGCUAUAGGCUUGGAAUUUUUGUUAUUAUUACCCAGAACUUAAUUGAUCUCUGCCUGAAUUGUUAGGCUGUGUGAGCCUCACUUGCCACAAGGUCUUCAUGAAAAGGAUUGAGAACUGCCGAACUGAAUGUUCUCUGAGAUUCUUUCUAGCUCUGACAUUCUCAGAGUGCUGAGACAGUUUUUCUUUUUUCUUUGUUUUCAUUUAACACUGUUUCACAUGCACAUUUCCAAGACUCCAUAUGGCUGAUUUCCUUGUCAGUCUCAGAAACAGUGCUUCAGUUUUGCUUAGCAGUAGUCCUAUUGGUUCCUGUCUUCCCUUGAUUCCCUCUACUUUUACAGACUUUUUUCAGAGCCUUCAUUUCAAUGAAUCCUAAUGGUGUGUGUGUCUGUGUAUUUGUCCACACUCAAGGUCUUUAUCUGGUACCUACAGGCACUCAGCAACUACCAAUUGGAUGAAUUAGUGAAUUCUUAAUGAUUAUCAAUAACUUCAUCUCACACACACACACAUACACACACACACAGAGAGAGAGAGAGAGAGAGAGAGAAUGAGAGAAAUCAUAACCUUUGGCUUAUUUUACUUCUUUUUUGAGGGUGUUAAUUUUCAAAACGGAAUCGCUAGAUCCAAAGUUUAGCAGCAAGUUUCAUGCUUGUAUUACCAGCUACCAGAUUGCUGUGUUGCCUCUGUUUUAUGUAAGCAGCAGUUUUUCUGAUAACACUUGUGUUAAUUAUUUAUAACAUUAUAAGUAAUUAAUCAAAUCAAGGAGUGUUUUCUCUUCCUUUUUUUCUGGGUGUCAAUAUUCUUUCUAUCCCAAACUCUAGUUGUUUCCCUAAAGCCAUCAAAUAAGAGGUUUGUCCUCUGAGUUUAACCAGAGAAAAAGAAAUGGGCUGCUCCUGCUCUCCACCCUUUGCAAUUUCUGUGAUGAUGAUGAUGAUGAUGAUGAUGAUGAUGAUGAUGAUGAAGGUAACUAUAACAACCCUGUGAGAAUAUUAAUAACCCCAUUGACAGAUGAGGAAACUAAGGCCCAGAGAGAUGAAGUGAUUUGCCCUCAGUCACACAGCUAGAUAUUAGCAAAGACAGGAUUUAUAUCUGGUUCCAUGAGACUCAGAACCUGGCCUCUUUCCACUAAACUACACUACAUCACUCCCCACGUGGAAGUUCAGGGUCAGGAGCCUGGGGAGCAGCAGGUCUGUCAAGUUCUGCAGGGCUGAGCUGUUUAUCAUUGUGGAGGACACUCAUCACUGUGCUAAUUACAUUAAUUGCUGCCCACUCUGUGGCUAGGUGGGUGGCUUAACAACACCUAGCAACGUGGUAACGAUGCCUGGGCCUGUCUUUAUGCAUGAAAACAUCUGCCUUUUUUUUUAAAACUCCUUCCUGUGGUGUCCAAGGAUAGUAAUUACAGGUUCUAUUGGUUGGGAGUUAGUGAUUCUCUACCCUGUAGGGAAAAGGUCAAGACUAUGAACUUUGCCCUCUAUCAGCCUUUUUACUGGAAUCGGGAGGGAAACCGAAGAUUUAUUAAAUAUCAACCCUGUGCUUGACAUUUUAUUUAAGGGAUCUUUUAUAAUCCUCAUGAUUGCUCAAGAAAUAGGAAUUAUAUUAUUCUUAUUUUGUUUAUGAGAGUACACAGUCACCAUGUUGGGGUCACAUAGCAAGCUAGGAGCAGGUGGGAACAGGCUUAGAACUCAGGACUAUCAGUGGACACAUUUAGUCUUCACAAAUUUAUCUACACAACAGCAUCUCGUAACAGAAGACAGUGUCUUUCUAAUGUUUAGAACUGAAUUAUAGUGAGGCCGAGUCUGUAUUUCCAGAGAACAAGCAAGGCAUUAGGAGCUGGUGUUUUGUGGAGUUCUCUAUUGGUAAAGGAUGAAUAUUUGAGAUGUCAGCCUUCCGACCUCCACUCCUUCCCUUAGUUUCUGAAAGAAAUUAACAGUUUUCCAGUUGAUUUUUAAAUAAGUAAUUUCAAGACCACCUCUGUCUACUUGUUGGGAAUGGACAAGAUGGCUUUUGCAAUUCAUCAUAAUUGGGUAAAUGACUUAAUUUUCAGAGACUCAGAUAACAGACGAUAAUUUAGGAAGUAAUUGACUUUGGAAUGUUGUGUAUUCAUGUACUUUAAGGGUGUGCCCAUAUCUAUAUGUGUAGGUAUAUAUGUCAAUAAAUGUGUGGUGCGUGUGUGUGUGUGUGUGUGUGUAUUCUUCAGGAAGACUUAGAGUAGUAGUGGACUUAGAUGACUUGGUUCCUUUUAUACCUGCCAUUUGUCUAUAAAUAAAGUUUAAAUAAAGUUUAGCUUGUAUACUAAAGCUCAGAACAACUACAUCAUAUGAUGAUACAGGGUAGUAGUUAAGAUAUAUGAAGCUAGGCCAGGGUUUGAAUCUUUUUUUUUGUUUGUUUGAAUCUUGGCUCGGUCACUUACCAGCUGCUAUGACUUGGGCAGGUCACUUAACCUCUCUGGGCAUCAGUUUUUUCAUUUCUAGAAAUAGGGAUGAUAACAGUUCUCAUCUCAUGAGGUUCUUCUAUGCCACGGAGGCUUUUGAGACAGGAACUAUGUCUAUACACUUUUCUGCACUCAGCCAGAAUGAGGUUUGGAAGGAGCAGGCUUUGGACUUAGAUACUCGAUUCUGAUUCCAGCACUCCCAUAUUGGCUGUCUGACCUUACAGAAACUAUAUACCUUUUCUGGACCUCAGAUUCCUCAUUUACACAAUCAAGGCUCCUGAUUUCUACCUAAAAUGAUUGCGAUACCACAAGGUGGGACCCAUGAGACCUGGUGCAGCAGUAACACACAGGAGGGAUCCAGCGAAGGUUGGUUCUUUUUCCCCUUAUUCCCAUCCUAGGGUCUUACAUUUAAUAAUUGGUGACUCAGCUCUUGUUUGAUAUGUAAAAUACAUUCUUUUCUCUCAUACUCCAUUUUUCCCUCUCUCCACUAUUUUCCUUCUCCCUUUUCAUAACACUUUCCUUUCUUUUACCUUUUUGGUCAGCUUCUAUCUACUGUGAUUGAUGCCCUCUGUCCAGGUCACCAGCCAUUGUCUCCUGGAUUGUGGCAGCAGCUUUCUAACUUGUCUCCUUGCCUCUAUCUGUCCCUGUUGUUUCAUUCUCCAUGCAGGGCAGUCCUUCUGUAACCUGAACCAGACCUUGCUGCUCCUCUGUGCCACUCCCUUCGGUGGCUUCUCAUCACCAUGGCCUGCAAGGCUCUGUGUGACCUGUCUUCUGGCACUCUCUGACCUCCCUCUUAGCUCAGUCUGCUCCAGCCUCAAAGGCCUUCUGGCUGUUACUGGAACAUUCAAGCACAUUCUUGCUUUGGGUCUUUUAUAAAUAUAUACAUCUGUCUGUGUGUAUAUAUAUAUACACACACAAACACACACAUACACACACACAUAUAUACACACACACACACACACACAUAUAUAGUUCUCUCUUCCUCCAGAUAUCUGUAGGCUUCAUCCUCUCACUUCCUUAGGCCUCUGCCCACAUGGCACCAUAUCAGAAAGGCCUUCCCUGAUGACUUAAUAUUAAAAAAAAAAAAACCCAAACACUCCCAGUCCUCCGUUUUAGUUUUCCUCUUUUCACUUAUCAGUGGCAUAUUAGACACUUAUUCAUUUACUUAUUUAUUUUCUCUCUCCCCUGAGCAGCACGUGACCUCUAUAAGAGCAGACUUGGUUUUGUUUUCUACUGUGUCCCCAGAACCUGGAGCACAGUAAGUGCUCAAUAAAUAUUUGCUGGAUUUUGUGAAUGUGUGUGUCCCCUUUAUGAAAUGGCACGGAAGAGCCUGCACUGACGCUCCAGGUGAUUUGGGGCCUGAAUGGGUCACUGAUCAACUUUUAUCUUAACCAGACCAGGGCGAUGAGGAGAAUUAGGUGGCUGCUCAGGGGCCCUUCACACACAUACCUUUGGGACCGACGCUGUUUCGUCUGCGGCAAUGGCGUGCCUGGCUUUCAUGCUUGUGGUUUGUACCAUAGUUGUGAUGUUGUCUAGAAUUCCCAUGGCAGCUUUACAAUAUGAUUAAUUUUGCUCAUAUAGAUACAUAUCGAUUACGGAUAAAGAUGACUCAAGGUUUAAAUUUAGCCCCACCACAACAAAUUGAAAGUCAGAGGUGUGCUACCUAAUUGCUCCCAGACUAUGAAAACAAAAGCACAAUGUCUGCCAGCACUGAAUCACUCUUCUCCACCCUUUUUCUCCCUUCCCUUCAUGUUCUCUGUCUUAAUUCUGUUCAUGUCGUAAACUGUGGUAGCUUAGAAAAGUGAAAAAUAACAUCCGGAGUCCAAAGUUCCAGUCCUGACACCACCACCUGUUUACUGUGAGAUCUCAAGCAUGUUACCCCACCUCCCUGAGCUUCAGUUUCCUCUUUUGUAGAAUAGACCUACUUGAAAACAGGCGCUCAAUAACAUGUGUUGAAUGAAAGAUGCCUAAGUGAGACAGCAUGGGUAGAAUGUCUAGCCUAGGGUGAGCACUCAAUAGAUGCUAGUCACCGGCCAUGCUAACUGAUGCACCUGACUGUGCUGUCUUCAUGAACUUUCUUUGGCUUUGGUUAACCAUUAGGAUAGGCAACCCAGCUGAAAACAGAGGAUGGCUCAUGACAAGGCCGUUCCUAAUCAGUCUCUCACAAGGGCUUUUAUGGAGGCCCUACUAUGCGUACAGCAAGGUGUAAGAUUCAGGGGUGGGUGGAGCAUCAAGCCAGCGAGAGGCAUAGUUUCUGCUGCUAUUGGUGCCCUGUGGCUGCUGUAACAAAUGACCACAAGCUUUGUAGCUUAAAGCCACAGAAAUGUAUUCGCUCACAGUUCUAGAGGGCAAAGCAUUUGAAAUCAAAAUGUUGGCAGGGCCACGCUCCCUCCAAGGGCCCUAAGGAAGAAUCCACUCUCUGCCUUUUGCAGCUUCUGGCGACUCCUGGUGUUGCUUGGCUUGUGGAAGCACACCUCCAUUCCGUGCCUCUGUCUUCACAUGAUCUUCCCUACUGUGUGUCUCUGUGUCUCAAAUCUCCCUCUCCUUUCUCUAAUAAGGAAACCAAUCAUUGGAUUUAGGGUCUACCCUAAAUUCAAAAUGUUUUCAUCUUGAGAUCCUUAACUUAAUUACAUCUGCAAGGACCCUAUUUCUAAAUAAGUUCACAUUCAUAAGUGUUGGGGUUUGGGGUUUAGGGUUUUGACAUCUUUUGUUGGGGUCCCAAUUUAACCCAGCUACAGUGGCCUCCAGGAAUUUCAGAUUAGGGAAAGGAAGAGCACACACAGAUGAACAAAAAAAGUUUCAAGUAGAGUUUGUAAGACAAAUCUUAUUUGAAGGUGGUUAGUGGGGGGUUGAUCCAUUAAUUUUUUGAUCCAGAAACGUUCACUGAGCCCCUGCUAUGCUGGGUGCUGGAGAUAGAAAUGAGGAAGCACAGUCUCUGCCUUCAAGGAGUUCACAGACUGCUUCAAUGAACAGAGAAGCAGGCAUUUAUUGUUGAGCAUGGUAGGAGCUGUGGUAGAAGUAGACCCCUGAUGCGAUGGGCAUUAGCAGGUCUGAGUUACAACCCUCGGGGCUGGUGUUCAGAGAGGGCUUUCUGCAGGAAGUAUUAUCCCUUCCAAGGCCUAAAGGUUGAGGGAGUAGGAGCUGGCCAGGCCCAAGCGGGAAUGGUUCUAGGAAGAAGGAAUGGAGGAAAGACAGGCUGGCCUGUAUAGGUUCUGCACUACGUAGGGGGCUGGAGAGGUGCACAAGGGAUCAGAUUGAAUGGGAUGCUGAAAACCACAGAAAGCUAUGGAGAGCCGUAGAAAGACUGUAGGGAGGGGAGUGACAUGACUAGAUCUGUAUGUUAAAAAUAAAAAUUGGAGAAGGUCUUUUGAGAAAAGUGAUUUUCUAAUAGAAUUUUAUUUGAUCCUUUUUUUUAAAAAAGAAGCAUAACAUAUAUACAGAAAUGCAUACAAGUCGUAAGGGUGUAUUUUGAUGAAUGAUUACAAAGUGAAUAGCCCUGUGUAUAUACUGCUUAGGUUUUCCAGAUGUAUAGGUUGUCAGAGUACAGGCAGAAUAGAGGAGAGAUGGCCUAAUCAUUUGGAAUUUCUCUUCUUUGUCCUGUGGAGAAAUGGCUUUCAUAACAGAAAGAAUAUGGGAUCUAGGGUAGAAAGGCUCAGUUUUGAGCUCUAUAUCUGGUAUUUCCUUUUUGUAUGAUCUCAGGCAAAUGGCUACACUUUCCUUAUCCUCAGUUUCACUACUGAGAGUGGACUAGCUAUGUCUUCUUCACUAAGAUGGUGUGCAGGUAAAAUAGGACAAAGCUGGUAAAAAGCUCUCUGCAUUAUGCAAAAUAGUUGCCCAUAUAAUUCUCAAAUUCCAAUCUGUCUCAGAUAUGGACUGCUUCACUUUAUCUUCUUCCUUCUUUAUAUGACAUUUUGACAGAUGAAUGAGGAGGGAAGGAGGUGAGGGAGUUUCUCUUUUUGUAAUGCUUUUUUUUUUUGGUUUUGUUUUCCAUUUCAAAAUGCCAGCCACCUCUGGAGUGGCUCUCCUAUACCCUUCUCUGUCCCUACUCUUCCUGCUCAUUGCUGGCCAUCUCACCCAACCAGGUCCAAAGAGGCAGGGGAAGGAGGGCAGGAAUGAGGGCAUGAAAAGAGCUUCGAGGUGAAAAGAAGUCCCUUCGUCUUCCUUGAGGGUCCCUGCUGUCCCCAGCUGUGCACUAGGCAUUUGGGAUGGAGGUGGGGGGAUGUAGAUGGGAAACAUGCCAUUCACUUUCAGUGUGAUGUCAAGACUGUUGAGGCAAAAUGAAAACAGCCUAGGCCGGGCGCGGUGGCUCACGCCUGUAAUCCCAGCACUUGAGAGGCCGAGGCGGGCGGAUCACGAGGUCAGGAGAUCAAGACCAUCCUGGCUAACACGGUGAAACCCCGUCUCUACUAAAAAUACAAAAAAAAGUUAGCCAGGCGUGGUGGCAGGCACCUGUAGUCCCAGCUACUCGGGAGGCUGAGGCAGGAGAAUGGCGUGAACCCGGGAGGCAGAGCUUGCAGUGAGCCGAGAUCUGGCCACUGCACUCCAGCCUGGGCAAGAGAGUGAGACUACGUCUCAAAUAAAAAAACAAAAACAAAAACAAAAAAACAGCCUAAUAGCAGGGCAAGACCAGCUAAGGUCAAAGUCUUAGUGUCAGAAGCAAAUAGCCCCAAAGGAGGCUGGAAACAGAAGAGACCACUUCACUGGGUAAAACACCUGCAGAAGGUGAGCUCAGUGCUAGGCUCUCCCUUCUCUCCUCUCAUUUCAAAUUCUUGGCAUUUUAUGCAAUAAAUAUUUUUAAGCACCUAUAGCAUAUCAGACCAUUAUUUUAUACACAUUGUUUUAUUUGAUCCUCAGAACAACACUAAAAGCUAAGUAUUAUAAUUACCAUCUUUUGGAGGAAGGGGACCAAGAUUUACAGAUUUGCUCAAGAUCACACCACUGUUAAAAGAAGGAAAUAGCUUUGAACCCACACCCAUCCAGUCCCACAAAUCCUGCUCUUUCCACUCUGCUAUACCGUUCGUUGAACGUAUGUGGAAGGGAGCCACGCGCUUUAUCAGGCUGCAUCACAUUGCAUGCAUUUUUAGUAUAUGUGUGCACAUGCCAACAGGCAUGUGGGAAUCCUGCUGGGUGAGUUGUAAUGAGGGCGUUUUGAGUGGCUAGAUGCAUUUUUGCUGGUGAGGCCUGGCUCAAGGAGAACAGGAAAGGAAGCAUACAGACCCAAUGUGUGGGAGGCUAGUCACACGGUGUGAGGGCUUGUCCUUGAACAAACUAUUGGGAAAUGGGUCUGUUAAGCCCUGGUGAAACUUUACUUUACUGGGGGGCCCCUAGGUUUUUCCAUGACUAUUUGAUUUCCAAAGCAUAAUUCAUUCCCAAUUCUUGAAAAAAAAGAAAAAGCAAUAUUUGUUUAGCACCUCCUGUGUGCCAGGCAUGGUGCUUGGUGCUUUACAUAUGUGACAUCAUUUAAUUCUCACAAACCCUUGCCCAUUAAUGCCACUGUUCAGCCCAGGAGACAGAUUCAGGAAGUUCAGGCGAUUUGUUCAAGAUUGUUCAGCUGGUGUGGAGCAGCACUGGGGUUCCUGCCCUGUGCUGUUCAACAGCAAUCCACACUGGCAUUUUAAAGUUAUUGGUGGGACAUUCUGUCUUUUAAUAUAGUUGUAAAUUAUCUCUAAUCAUGAGAUAGGAUGACAGCAUACUGAUCCUUCCUCUCCUCUUUUAGAAAAAGAAAGGCAUUAUCUUUUCAUUCCUGAGCAACUAAGAUUCUUUGCCCCAGAGGUAAAAAUCUCCACUCCAGGUUACUCAUGUGUCAUUGUCCGGAGGGUACAAUUGCUACUCUUGCUUUCGUUUGGCCCUUUUUCUUCUUCUUUUCCUAAGGUACCUGGCCUCUUUCAAGAUAUCUCUCACUCCCCCAUACCCAUCACUAUAGUAUAAGGCUGCUGAGGUGGCACAGCCAUGAUAAGGAAGGCAGGGACCUGUGGCCUGGAUGAGCCUGUAGUCAGACAGACCUGGUGUGUAUGGAGUCUAGAGGCCCUUCUGAGGUUUGAGAUAGGCCUAAUAGUCUCCCAAAGACCCCUGGUCCCUGCUCACCUAGUGCCAUCAUAGAAGGGAAAAGAUGUUCUUGGUGUCACUGGAGAACAUUUGGCCUUGGAGAUAAGUGUUUGGGCCACCAGCCCCCUUCAAGAAUAUAUAGCAAUUAUGAGUGUCUGGAUGGACUUCAUUUUUUGCACUGGGCGGAUGGAUUAACCAAACCUCCCAGAAGCGGAAUGAAUAACAAAGAGGAAGGUCUUUGCAAUUCUAGGGCUUGUCCUUUCACAUCUCUUUUAAGGCUUGUGAAAGCAGCGAGCAGUGGGGAGGGAGAUGGGUGGAAUGGGCAUUUGUUAACGAGGAGAAAUCCUGAGAUGCUUGGUUGUGUGACCUGGGGUUGGGAAGCCACUCCACUUCACAUCUCUGAGUCUCAAUUUUCCCUUCUGCCAUUUGGCAAAGGGAAUGCUUCCCUUCCUCUUCCCCUGCCCCAGAUGGCUGCUGUGAGAAUGAGAUGAGAAUAUGUUUAGGGUUUUGGAGUGAUGUCCGAACUCAGAGAAGGUGCUUAGGCCAAAGUCAAGAGGCCUGAGGUGUACUCCAGACUCUGCCCUGAACUCAGUAUCUCUUCUUUCUGGGGCUUCCUUUCUAUAAAAUGGGGGAAUGAGGGUAGCUUUCUUUCUUUUUUUUUUUUUUCCCUCAAUGGUCACUUUUGAUUUUAAAUGCCAUAAUGCCAUGACUGUUUUCUCAAAGUAGAGGAUUAGAUGCAACUUUUAGGAGAUAAAUGGAUCAUUUAAUAGUUACCUGUUCAGUCAUUUAAUAAAUAUUUAAUGAGGACCUACCACAUGUCAGCCACAGUGCUAGGUAAGGGAUAGAAUAACAAACAAAACAGACGUAGCCCCUGCCCUCAUGGAACUUCUAGUCUAGUAUAAGACUGUUUGGAAGAACUUCCUCAUCUCAGAUAGUUGAAGAAGUUUCAGGGCUCCAAGGGGAAUGUCGUUAGUUAAAAGAACAAUGUCAGGAAUGUGUAAUAGGUGCUCAAAUAUUUGUUAAAUGAAUAAAUCAAUACAAGCACCUGAAGGAAGCUCUUGCAGUGACCCUAGAGUUAGGAGCAGUUCUUUGGAGUCCAGAAAGACUGUGGGAGCUCUGGCAAAGGGUGUAUGUAAUUGCUAAAUAGUUUGUUUGUUGAGACACCUGUGGAUGGGAGGAUCUGCCCCUACCUGCCUGGUUCUCAAGGUGGCCACUUACUGGGAACAACGAUGGCUUCACUUGCCAGGUCUUUUCCCCAGAGGUGGAGCCCAUGCAGAUGCUGGAACUGAAGGGGGGAAGGGAAAAGUGGCCAGGGAAAAAUGCCAGUGUUUGUAUGACAUUUGGGCUAAGCCCAGAGGACCCGUAGAGAUUGUGGGGUCUCAUCUGUAUCCUGUCAGAGGGGUAACUGAGGCCUGGAUGGGAUGUGAGGUCACAAAAGAGUUGGCUCCAAGCCAUGUCAGGAGGCUGGAUGGGGAGGUGGGAAGAACCUGGGCUUAGGAGUUGGAGAGCACUUGGGUUUGAAGGCUGUGGAUCCUUGGAUAAAUCACUUAAUCUCUCUGAAUCAGCUUUCUCAUCUGUUGAAGAGACAUCACAGUGGUGGCAUCUGAAAGAUGUCAUGAGGUAUAAUGUGUCUCGGACACCUAAAAUCAGGACCCAGGACUAACUAUAGACCUGAUAAUCAGUAUUUAUAAUUAUUACAUUAUUAGGACCCAGGUCCUAUUUCUGUGCAAUGUUGAAAGAUAGUGAUAAGAACAAUUUAGAUCAGAACUUACAAGUUUGCAUGAUCUUCAUUAUAAACGAAAUAGUGAAACAAUGCUGAGCGGAUUUACAGAGGCGUAACUCAUUCAUUAACCAGCUUAGAUAGGCAUUUUUCCCUCUCUUUGGGAUUGGUUUUCUCUUCUGUUAAAUGGGGAUAAUUUUUAUGCUCAACCUCUUCUCAUCCAUCUAUUAAACAUUUAUUGAAUACCUAUUAGGAGUCAUAAUAUGCUUAGUGCUGAGGACACAGGAAGAGGACAUAGUUCCUGACCCUAAGGAGCUCAUUACCUAGUGGGACACUAUUAAACAGAUACAACACAGAAUAGUAUGUAUAGAGCAUGGUAUGUAGCAGGGGCCUUGUCUGAGUGGACAAGGAGGCUUCCUAGAGGAAGCAACAUUUAAAGCUGAGGGCUGAAGGAUGAAUAGGAUUUAACCAAGUAAAAGUAAGAAAGGAAGUGGGGAGCUGGAAAGGGCAUUCCAGGAAGAAGAAACUGCAUGUGCAAAGGCCAGGAGGUCAGAGCGCACAGUGGAUAUGACGAUGUGGCUAGCUGAGCAUGUCUGUGCAGUGUCAACUUUGUUGUGAACACAGAGGGAGGCUACUGGGAGAUUUUAAGCAAGAGAGUUGGAGUAUGAUCACAUUUGCAUGUUAGAAAGAACACUCAGGGUUCUAUGCACUUGAAUGAAGUUUUAUUAUGGAGAGCAGUUGGAACAAGUCGAUUCUUUCCUCCUCCUCCAUCAUCCUCCUCUUUUCCCUGUCCACAUAACAUGGCUCACAUGAGAUAAAAUAACCCACACAAGCAUGCCUUGUGUAAUGUCUGCCACAUAGUAGGUGUCCAAUUAUCAUAUAAUUCCCCCCUUUUUAAAUGUAGUUCCUGAAAGAGAAAUCCCCUGGCAUGAAGCACAAGUUGGGGCAAAAAAGGUGAGGGUGUGGCUGUUUGUAUCUUCUGGCUGGUGUUUGGGUAUAGCCGACAGGAUUUAGGUCAGAGGAAGUUCCCCAGACAGUUCAGCCUCAACCAGUCAUCUGGGGUUUCAGGGAGGGCAGGUGAAGGUCAUAAUAUCCCCCUAUUUCAGGAGGCCACCCCUCCCCAGGAUCCUGAUCUUGAAAAUGUACCAGACAUGGACCAUUGCGUUAAUUUGUCUGGGUUGGCUUCCUCAUCUGUAAAAUGGGUAUAAGGUUACCUGUGCUGUCAGCCACAUGGGGUUGUUGUAAGAAACAGAAAAGUGUGAACCACCACAAAAUAAUAUAAGACUACAUUAAUUAAUGGCUACCCUGGGCUGGGCCUUGUUCUGUGAAGUAGAUAUUAUCAAUUAUCCCUAUUAUACAGAUAGCAAAACCAAGGGUCAGAGAGAUUAUGUGAAUCACCCACAGGCACAGAAUAAGUAGCUGGAGCUGGAGCACUGGCAUUUUAACCACAACACUGUGACACCAUGAUUUGUUCUCCCUUGAAAACCACCUCCUGCUCCCUGAGCUCUUAGCUUGAUGCAGUACUCCAGAAAUGAGUGUAGAAAGAUGGAAGAAGGAAGGAAAGGGGCAGUGUUUGAAGUCUGAGAGUCUUUCCAGAUGCCUCCCUACUCCUCACCCCACCAACUCAGGGUCUUCUUCCAGAUGCACUCUGGGAAAUGGCUCAUGGCAUCCUUUUAAAAUGACCUGUUACCUGACUCCUCACUAGAUGGAGACAGGUGGGGGAAGGGACUGUCUGGUUUGUGUUGGUAUCCCCAGGGUCUAGUACAAUGGCUGGCACUCAGUAAAUAUUUGUGAAUAAAUUCCUCCUGUCAUUGUCUGAAUUUUCUGCCCAUGCUGUCCUCUUGGCCAAGAGGUCUAAAAGCAAAGGAGCUGGGGCUUCUGGAAAGUCUUCCAAGGUCAGUGGAUGCAUGUGUGAUGGAGGCCCAGCAAGAGGUCAGUGUGUUGCCCUGGGGCAAGCCUGCAGGAUGGACCCAGAGGGCUGGGGUGGCCGGCUUCAUCCAGCUCAUUUUUCCCAAGGGAUCUGGCGCUCACAGGCUGCACACAGAGCCCACGUGUUGUGUUGCGUGAGGACCCCUAAGGAUUUGUUGAGUGGUCCUAGGUGCUCAAGUCACUGUACCUGCAGGGUGGCUUGAGCUGGGCCCACCUGACUGAUUGGCUGGUCAAUAGGUGGCCUGAGAACCAAAACUAGCCUCCAGCACAUUAAGCAACCGGCUUCCUUCCUGCCCCCGGUCAGGAGCUGGGCCAGGGAAAGUGAAGAAACCUGUUUGGGGCCUCGGCAGGGUGGGCGUGGGUGGGGCCCUGCCGGGAAAAGAGGCACCUAGACCAGUUAGUUUCCUUUGCUCCAGGACCGGAUGCAGAGCCGGGACUCAGGUGGAGGCAGGAAAAAUACGCACCCUGGGUGCACCUGUAAGUCCUCCAGGACUACAUUGGUUUUGGCUAUGACAUGACCAGGGGCUCUGGGUUGGUGGUCACCGGGCGUGGGGCUUCUGGCUGCUAAAUCAGGAGAGUGAGCGGGCCGGGCGGCGGCGAAUGAGUUGACGGGUGGAGCUGGAAGAGGCUUUGGCGAUCCAGCGGGCAAGCGAAGGACACCGGGGGAAGGGGUGGUACCCGGAAACGCAGCUGGGCAGUCGCGCCGCUCCCCUGUCCUCGCCAGCGCGCUUUCUCUUCCUGGCCGCUGCGCCUCCUCCGGGCCCCGCGGUGGCGUGAAAGGCGCUCAGGACAGACUUGUAUUUGAAUCCAAGCUGUUCCACCCACACGCUUUUGUUCUUGGGCGAGUGACUUCUAUCUGACCCAGAGUUUUCCCAGACGAAAGUGGGAAGACGGUGCCUACCCCAAAGCGUCGUGGGAAUGAAAGUCAAUGAAGUGACAUAGGAAAGGUGCCUAGCACAUGGCAGAUUCCUAUCAGGCGAAGGCCGCCUUUCCUGGCCUCCCGCACAGGCCCGCCAGCGAUUCGUCCUUACAAGGCUAGCCUCCGCAGGCUGCCCUCUGUGUAAAUAAAGCCACAGACUUCCGCCCACAGGUCGCCGCAGGUCCCGCCCGCAGCGCCGGGCCGCGGGGGAGGCGGGAACUGGUGCUACCGCCGCUACGCAGGCCUCGGGAGGCUCGGAGCCCGCCACGCCCCAGCCCUCGCGCAGGGCCGGGGAGCCACGGGGCCAAAAGGAGGAGCAGGUGGAAGAAAUCCAGGCUCAGACCGUCGGAGUCCCCACCCAUGAGCACCCUUCUCCACUGAUCACUCAGAACAUGGUAGGCCCUAGAGAGACAGCAGCCCGACUCUUCCCAGAAACCCUGCAGGAGAUUCCUUCUUCCCAUUUUAUAGAAGGGAGGCUGAGGCUCGGCACGUUUAAAUGGCUUGACCAAGGUCCCACAGGCAAAAAAAUGGUACAGCAAGAUAUUGUAACCCAAUGUCUGGCUGCAAAACCCAGUCUGUCCCCAACCCACCUAUCGUCACCGAGAUUGUAAAACUUCUAACCGGGAAGAAUCAAAUACAUGCACAACGGGUUACAGGUUAACAGACAGAUGGGAGCGGAAAGGGACAUUCCAGCGCUUCCCUGGGCGUGUCGCACAGGGCAACUCCAACCACAGGCGAAUUUUCCUGGGUGACAGUUAUACUCCUUUUUGCAUGAAAAAAUACAGAUCCUUAUUAAAACAAUAAUCGAUUAGACUAUAAAACUCUCAAAGUUAUUUCGGAUCAAAAUUAUUUUCGGCUGUUUCCACACCUUUUUUUCUCGAUUGUGCAGAAAUUCUUCAAACCGUGUGCACAGAUGGGCAAACUGAGACCCGGACGAGUCCCAUUGAGAGAGGGAGGCAGAGCCGGGGUUGGGAGAAGACUGAGAUUUCUGGGCUCCGGCUUGGAGUGUUUCCGCUGGGUGGGGGCGCCGGUUUGCGAAGAGCUUUCCUCGGACAGCUACUGCUGCUUUUUGUCGCUCAGCCAGCCAAGUGGGGGCGAUUCUGAGUAAUCGCAAGCAAUCAGCGCGGCUGGGGUUAAAAGCGAAAGGGACUCGCGGGCGAGCGGCCGGGGAGGGCGGCGGGCACACAGCCCAGACGCCGGCAAAGGCGGGGCGCCGCCGGGGUUCCCUCGGUGCGAGCGCGCGCGGCACUUCCUGCUUUUGCUCCUCCCUGCGGUCCUGCCGGCCGUUGUAAACUGGCUCUGCGGGCCACACCCCUGUUCCAGGCCCGCUAACCCACCGGCGGCCCCAGAGCCCCAGGCGGCCCCAGAGACCCAGCCUCAAUCCUCAAUCCUCGUACAGUCCUCAGGUCCAAGUCCUGGCCACAGGAACGCCAGCCAGAUCUGCAGCUCAGCUAGCUGAAUUUCAGGUUCCAGAGACCUGGCCCUUUUCUUCCACGUAGGGGACAGUCAGGUUCUCUGGCCUGGGUUUUCUAAAAGUAUCCAGAGUUGAACUACCUUUCCACUCAGCAAUCCCAUUACUGGGUCUGUACCGAAAGAAAAAUAAGUGGUUCUUCCAGAAAGACACAUGAAUCCCUAUGUUCAUCGAAGUGCUAUUCACAAUAGCAAAAACUUGGAAUCAACCCAGGUGCUUGUCAAUGGUGGAUUGGUUAAAGAAAAUAUGGCUCAUACACACCAUGGAACACUAUGCAGUCAUAAAAAGAAUGAAAUCGUGUCCUUUGCAGCAACAUGGAUGCAGCUGGAGGCCAUUAUCCUAAGUGAACUAAUCAGGAAAAGAAAAUCAAAUACCACAUAUCCUCACUUAUAAGCAGGAACUAAACAAUGGGUACACAUGGACAUAAAGGUGGACAUGAUAGACACUGAGGACUACUAGAGUUAGUGGGAGAGGGAGCAGAGCAAGGGCUGGAAAAUUACCUCUUGGGUGCUAUGCUCACUAUCUGAGUGACAAGCUCAAUUAUACUCAAAACCUCAGCAUUAGACAAUAUACCUUUGUAACAAACCUGCACAUGUACCCCCAAUUAUAAAAUAAAAGUUGAGACG
This is a long non-coding RNA of Pan troglodytes (chimpanzee), 18558 nucleotides long. RefSeq lists it as uncharacterized. The transcript is spliced from 2 exons. The record is from RefSeq and is a predicted model, not a curated record. Lineage: Eukaryota; Metazoa; Chordata; Mammalia; Primates; Hominidae.